Molecule: long non-coding RNA, 426 nt
Filed under: Eucalyptus grandis
Lineage: Eukaryota; Viridiplantae; Streptophyta; Magnoliopsida; Myrtales; Myrtaceae
Description: long non-coding RNA (EGRA_LNC002499)
Source: RNAcentral
CCAAGCAUCAUGAGCGGCCCUUCUCAGACGAUGGGAGGAGGGGCAUACAUGAAUAGAGCACCUGGAGGUUCUGGUGAUACAUGCUAUAAGUGCAAUCAAACUGGGCACUGGGCGAGAGACUGUCCUGGGCUAAGUGGGGUUCCACCUGCCUAUGGAAGCAGUGCCGCAACACCUGGAGGUUCUGGUGAUACAUGCUACAAGUGCAAUCAAACUGGUCACUGGGCGAGAGACUGUCCUGGGCUAAGUGGGGUUCCACCUGCCUACGGAAGCAGUGCCGCAACACCUGGGAGGUACGGCAUGGUUUCCAGGGAAAGGGUUGGUGGGUUUUGAGAGUAAUGUAAAGGAGUCAGCUCUUGCUUAAAACAUUUCUUAUCCUGUUCUUUUGGAUGUGAGCGGAUGGGGAAAGCGUUCUUCACAGUUCCCCAU